RNAcentral lists this long non-coding RNA (205 nucleotides) under Ananas comosus (pineapple). RNAcentral describes it as "long non-coding RNA (ACOM_LNC006700)". Lineage: Eukaryota; Viridiplantae; Streptophyta; Magnoliopsida; Poales; Bromeliaceae. The record is from RNAcentral.
ACUUUGCUGUAAUCUACCGACAGUCCCUAGCGCAAGUGAUAAAGGUCUUGAUAGUUGGUACCCGAGGUCCCAAGUUCGAAUUCUAGUUGAUUCACAUUUCUAGCUAAGUUUAUUUUUAAAUAAAAUAAACGAAGCGGAUAGCAUGCUACCUAUCUCUCAAAAAAAAAGAACUUUACUGUAAUUUGUUGCUCAGUGCAGAGCCCUC